Molecule: long non-coding RNA, 1092 nt
Organism: Bos taurus (domestic cattle)
Lineage: Eukaryota; Metazoa; Chordata; Mammalia; Artiodactyla; Bovidae
Source: Ensembl
CCAUUAAAGAAGCUGCCCGAAGGUUGUUUCUUGGCUCAACUUAGCUUUAUCUCUAAGAAUCUGCCUGCAAUGCGGGAGACCCAGGUUGGGUCUCCUGACUCAAUCCCUGGGUCGGGAACAUCUCCCGGAGAAGGAAAUGGCAACCCUCUCCAGUAUUCUUGCCUGGAGAAUUCCACAGACAGGGGAGCCUGGUGGGUUCUAAUCCAUGGAAUUGAAGAGUGGGACACGACUGAGCUGUCUGUGGAAUCCUGCUGCAGCCUCACUUUCUACGCCAGCUCACCAGCAUACCAGAGAUUGGUCACUGUGUCACAAUCACAGUGAGGAUCUAGUUCAAAUAGCCUUCUGAGACUCUGCCGACCCUCCUCCCCUUCUCCUGGGUCCUCCCUUCUCAGGGGACUGAACAGUGACUUCCCCUGUACUCUCAACGUGAUAUGCUGUGGGGUGCUUCCAGUGCCUGCUGCCUUCCUGUCUGGUUCUCCAAAGACAAGCCUCCCUCUGCCCAAGGUGGGUCCCAGUAGGGAGACGCUUGGGCAUUGGAGAUUGGCAAAAUCUGGCCAGAUCUCUGGGCUCCUGCAUCCAAGUGGACCACAUGCUUGUCUCUGAUGUUCACAGCUGGUUCCAGGCACCUGACUCCUGACAGUCAAACUCAUGAGAGACUGAAACACCUCAACUGGCCUUUCACAUUUUUAAGUUGGGUGUGCUUGUAGGGUGGGGAGAAACUAUGUAUCUCCAGUGACCAAAAUAUUUGCACCUGUUACCCAGAGCAAUCUUUUAUUUUCAACGGAAAGAAACUGACAUGCCAAAGGCAUUUAAACUUCAGGGGAGGGUCUGCUGUCAGUGGCCUGGCCAGAGGCAGAAGGAUGUCAGAGUCCCACCAGGCCUCAGGGAAGAAGCAAGAUUUACGAGGUGAGAGCCCGCCUGGGCCGCCUCUGUUGGAAAGGCCUCCCUGCAGUAUUUUCUGUCUCAUCAACGCUGCAUUUCAUUUUAAAUUGCAGCUGAAAGCGGAUAUUUUCCCUCUUGCCUAUUACACCUCUUAAUUUGUCUCUCCCUCUGCUGUUAUUUGUCUCUAUAAAGUGUUUUGCAUGAAAGACC